UCCCGGUUUCCCGGGCAGUCCCACCAGAGUGCCUUACCAUAAAGGCAGUUGCAACUGGCAGCAAGGGUUGCGCUCGUUAAAGGACUUAACCCAACAUCUCACGACACGAGCUGACGACAGCCAUGCAGCACCUGUGUACCUGUCUGAGUAAACCCAGAAAGCCACAUCUCUGUGACGAUCAGGCACAUUUCAAACCCAGGUAAGGUUUCUCGCGUAGUGUCGAAUUAAACCACAUGUUCCACCGCUUGUGCGGACCCCCGUCAAUUCCUUUGAGUUUUAGUCUUGCGACCGUAAUCUUCAGGCGGAUCACUUAUCGCGUUAGCUUCGACACUCACCCAGCUAAGCCAGGCAAACAUCUAGUGAUCAUCGUUUACGGCGUGGACUAC
RNAcentral lists this unclassified non-coding RNA (386 nucleotides) under uncultured bacterium. RNAcentral's name for it is "contains 16S-23S intergenic spacer region". The record is from RNAcentral.